GGGAGAGGAACUGGCUGUCUCUGGGCUCGGCCGAGAGGUCCCAGCUACUUCCUGGUGCUCGGAUUUGCAUAUUGAGCCCGGAGGGCGGGGAAGUGACCGUUUGGUCCCUGCCCAAGGUUUGGGUGUUUGGUGUGGCCGUCGCGCAGGGCUUUGAAGGCACAGAAACCUGGCGACUCAGUCUGCAGCUCCGGGGAGUGGAGCAGCCCGGGCCAGCCUUCUCCUGUAGGGACGGACGGAAGGAUCUCCAGAGGAGCCUGGGCUUCGCAGGCACAUCGACUACACCUCUCGCGUCUCCUUUCCUUUCCUUCCGACCCAUCCCCAAGCCUAGAUCCUCUGGAUUUAGAACACACAGACUUUUGCCAAAUUGCGUGCUGAUUUUUCUGGUAAACCAAAUGUUAUAAGCUGAGUAAUGUCUGACUAAAAUUCCUAUGUUGAAGUCUAACCCCCGGUACCUUGGAAUGUGACCGUAUUUGGAGAAAUGGCCCAGUCUGCGAUACUUUGCUGUGGCAGCCCUAGAAACCAAUAUGCCAACCAACCCAUAAACAGACAAAAAACCAGGAAAGAACUAAAUGCACAGGAUUCCAAAUCCAGUGGCAGCAUCUCCCCUAUCAUGUCCUUCUUCCAGGAUAAAAAUACACAGAUGGAGACACAACUGUAAAUGUAGUGCAUGUACAGACACACCCUCCCUCUGCUCACAAGGAGGCCCUAGGAGAUGUUGCACCUCAAUCAAAAUGAACACCCAGUGCCCAGGUCUUGACUUCUAAGAAGAUACAGGACUCCCUGGGGAAGAGGCCAAUGCUAGGGCUGGGGCCAGGAAGGUACAAGAUGAGCUUGGAACACCCAGUUGAGGCUGAAAGUGAGGACUCAAAACAUGAUGGGAACAGUCCCAAAAGCAUACCAGGGCUACCCUAAAAAAGCUCCCACUUGCCAAAGCUGGGUCAAUUUAACCAGCUUUGGUUAAAUUAUAAAAUAAUGUAAGUAGCAAAUUAUAAUGGAGUGUAACCUGUAGAAGAAAAUACAAAUCAUAAGUCUAUGCUGACAUUUACUUCUAUUUAUUUAUUUAUUUAGAGACAGAGUUUUGCUCUGUCGCCCAGGCUGGAGUACAGUGGCGUGAUCUUGGCUCACUGCAACCUCCACCUCCCAGGUUCAAGAGAUUCUCAUGCCUCAGUCUCUGGAGUAGAUGGGAUUGCAGGCACGCAGCACCAUGCCUGGCUAAUUUUUUUUUAUUUUCAGUAGAGACAGGGGUCUCGCUAUGUUGCCCAGGCUGGUCUCCAACUCCUGGUCUCCAAUGAUCUGCCUGUCUUGGCCUCCCAAAGUGCUGGGAUUACAUGCAUGAGCCACCGCGCCUGGCCUGUGCUGACAUUUAAAUGGGAAGCUUGAUGAGGAACAGAAUACUUACCUACUUUCAAAGCUUCUCUUCAGAAAAUACUUAGUUAUAAAGGGGAAAAGAGUUAACCAUUCAGUGGAAAAACCUGGCCGACAUCAAUUUCAAGGGGUCAAAAUAAUCAUCAGACAAACUGGUAUUGCUACCAUCUUCUAGGACACACAGAAAGACAUGGCAUCACCAAGGAAGCAGAGCCUGAGUCAAUCAUAAGAAGAAGCAUCAGACAGGCCUGAGUGAGGGACUUUCUUCGAAAUAACUGACCUGUAAUCUUCCAAAGGUCCCAGGAACUGUCCUAGUCUAAAUGAUACUGAAGAGAUCUUCGCUCAAUGCAAUGCCUGACUCUGAUCUGGAAGUCUUGCUCUAAAGGACAUGGUUGGGACAACUGGCAAAACCUAAAGGGUAUCUGAAGAUUAGAUGGAAGUAAUACAUCAGUGUUAAUUACCCAAUUUUUAUCCUUGUUCUGUGGUUUUGUAGGAAUUGUGUAGAAAGUAUUAAAGGGUGAUAGCGUUUUAAAAUAGGAUUUAUUUAUUUAUUUAUUUAGAGACAGAGUCUCCGUCUGUCA
RNAcentral lists this long non-coding RNA (1946 nucleotides) under Homo sapiens (human). RNAcentral describes it as "HSALNT0137097". The record is from RNAcentral. Lineage: Eukaryota; Metazoa; Chordata; Mammalia; Primates; Hominidae.